UACAGAGGGUGCGAGCGUUGUCCGGAAUCACUGGGCGUAAAGGGCGCGUAGGUGGUGGCUUAAGCGUGCGGUGAAAGCUCGGGGCUCAACCCCGAGUCGGCCGUGCGAACUGGGCUCACUGGAGCAUAGUAGAGGCAGGUGGAAUUCCGGGUGUAGCGGUGGAAUGCGCAGAUAUCAGGAGGAACACCGGUGGCGAAGGCGGGUCUCUGGGCCGAUACUGACGCUGAGGAGCGAAAGCGUGGGGAGCGAACAGG
This 254-nucleotide ribosomal RNA is filed under the name uncultured bacterium. Its description in RNAcentral is "partial 16S ribosomal RNA". It matches the Rfam family "Bacterial small subunit ribosomal RNA", at positions 524 to 776 of the family's 1533-position model. The record is from RNAcentral.